Molecule: small nuclear RNA, 96 nt
Organism: Lynx canadensis (Canada lynx)
Lineage: Eukaryota; Metazoa; Chordata; Mammalia; Carnivora; Felidae
Source: Ensembl
GUGCUCACUUUGGCACAAAAAUUGGGGUGAUACGGAGAAGAUUAACAUGGCCCCCUGCACAAGAUGACACAAAUUUGGGAAGCGUUCCAUAUUAUA